RNAcentral lists this ribosomal RNA (420 nucleotides) under uncultured bacterium. Its description in RNAcentral is "bacterial SSU rRNA". It matches the Rfam family "Bacterial small subunit ribosomal RNA", at positions 355 to 774 of the family's 1533-position model. The record is from RNAcentral.
UAAGGAAUAUUGCUCAAUGGGAGAAAUCCUGAAGCAGCAACGCCGCGUGGAGGAUGAAGGGUCUAUGACUUGUAAACUCCUGUAAAGAAGGAAAAAAUUCCCAUUAGAUGGGAGAUGAUGGUACUUCUGGAGUAAGCCCCGGCUAACUACGUGCCAGCAGCCGCGGUAAUACGUAGGGGGCAAGCGUUGUCCGGAUUUACUGGGUGUAAAGGGCGCGCAGGCGGGAUAAAAAGUCAGUGGUGAAAUCCUACAGCUUAACUGUAGAACUGCCUUUGAUACUUUUAUUCUUGAGUUCGGGAGAGAGAGACGGAAUUCCAGGUGUAGUGGUGAAAUACGUAGAUAUCUGGAAGAACACCAGUUGCGAAGGCGGUCUCUUGGUCCGAUACUGACGCUGAGGCGCGAAAGCGUGGGGAGCAAACA